CCUACGGGCGGCAGCAGUGAGGAAUAUUGGUCAAUGGCCGAGAGGCUGAACCAGCCAAGUCGCGUGAGGGAAGAAUGUCCUAUGGAUUGUAAACCUCUUUUGUCAGGGAGCAAAGUCACCCACGUGUGGGUGUUGGAGAGUACCUGCAGAAAAAGCAUCGGCUAACUCCGUGCCAGCAGCCGCGGUAAUACGGAGGAUGCGAGCGUUAUCCGGAUUUAUUGGGUUUAAAGGGUGCGUAGGCGGGUUAUCAAGUCAGCGGUAAAAUCGUGGAGCUCAACUCCAUCCAGCCGUUGAAACUGAUGAUCGUGAGUGGGCGAGAAGUAUGCGGAAUGCGUGGUGUAGCGGUGAAAUGCAUAGAUAUCACGCAGAACUCCGAUUGCGAAGGCAGCAUACCAAGCUACUUCUGACGUUGAGGCACGAAAGCGUGGGGACCAAACAGGAUUAGAUACCCCUGUAGUC
RNAcentral lists this ribosomal RNA (459 nucleotides) under uncultured bacterium. RNAcentral describes it as "partial 16S ribosomal RNA". It matches the Rfam family "Bacterial small subunit ribosomal RNA", at positions 338 to 795 of the family's 1533-position model. The record is from RNAcentral.